GACGCCCUAGCUUAUCUGAUAAGAUGAUCUGUGACAUCUCGAUAUCUAAGGGUAAAGGAAGUUUGAUAAUAGAACAGAUACAGUGCAUGAAAUAAAUAAAAAUAUAUUUAUGCGAUGGAAAAAGACAUCCCUUACAAAAUAAUUUUAGGUUAAUACAUCUGAGACCAAGAAGAUGGUUGCCGAAAUAUGUAUAUACACAAAAC
RNAcentral lists this long non-coding RNA (203 nucleotides) under Carica papaya (papaya). RNAcentral describes it as "long non-coding RNA (CPAP_LNC007937)". Lineage: Eukaryota; Viridiplantae; Streptophyta; Magnoliopsida; Brassicales; Caricaceae. The record is from RNAcentral.